RNAcentral lists this ribosomal RNA (1525 nucleotides) under Antrodiella faginea. RNAcentral describes it as "eukaryotic LSU rRNA". The stretch from base 547 to 1525 matches the Rfam family "Eukaryotic large subunit ribosomal RNA", at positions 1 to 967 of the family's 3401-position model. The record is from RNAcentral. Lineage: Eukaryota; Fungi; Basidiomycota; Agaricomycetes; Polyporales; Steccherinaceae.
UUGUCGCUGGCCUCAGCAAUGGGGCAUGUGCACACUUUGUUCAUCCACCCUUCACACCACUGUGCACUUCUCAUGGGUCGGGUUGCGUCUGAAAUAUGGCAAAGCCCUUCUCAUGUGUUUUAACCACACACUAUACAAGUUUUAGAAUGUAACAAUCAUGCAUCAAUGCAUAUAAUACAACUUUCAGCAACGGAUCUCUUGGCUCUCGCAUCGAUGAAGAACGCAGCGAAAUGCGAUAAGUAAUGUGAAUUGCAGAAUUCAGUGAAUCAUCGAAUCUUUGAACGCACCUUGCGCUCCUUGGUAUUCCGAGGAGCAUGCCUGUUUGAGUGUCAUGGUAUUCUCAACCCUGCUACAUUUGUUGUGUAGCUGGGCUUGGACUUGGAGGUUUAUUGCUGGUGUUCUCUUUUGAACGCGGGCUCCUCUGAAAUGCAUUAGCUGGAAUGUUACCGAGCAUGAUUCAACGUGAUAAUUGUCUACAUUGCUUCAACUUGGUAUUAAUUCUGUUUCAGCUUCAAACCGUCCCUUGCGGACAAUAUCUUGAACAUCUGACCUCAAAUCAGGUAGGACUACCCGCUGAACUUAAGCAUAUCAAUAAGCGGAGGAAAAGAAACUAACAAGGAUUCCCCUAGUAACUGCGAGUGAAGCGGGAAAAGCUCAAAUUUAAAAUCUGGCAGCUUUGGCUGUCCGAGUUGUAGUCUGGAGAAGCGUUUUCUGUGCUGGACCGUGUACAAGUCUCUUGGAACAGAGCGUCGUAGAGGGUGAGAAUCCCGUCUUUGACACGGACUCCCAGUGCUUUGUGAUGCGCUCUCAAAGAGUCGAGUUGUUUGGGAAUGCAGCUCAAAAUGGGUGGUAAAUUCCAUCUAAAGCUAAAUAUUGGCGAGAGACCGAUAGCGAACAAGUACCGUGAGGGAAAGAUGAAAAGCACUUUGGAAAGAGAGUUAAACAGUACGUGAAAUUGCUGAAAGGGAAACGAUUGAAGUCAGUCGCGUCGGCCAGAACUCAGCCUGGCUUUUGCCUGGUGCAUUUUCUGGUUGACGGGCCAGCAUCAAUUUUGAUCGCUGGAUAAAGGCCUUGGGAAUGUGGCACCUUCGGGUGUGUUAUAGCCCUUGGUUGUAUACAGUGGUUGGGAUUGAGGAUCACAGCAUGCCUUUAUGGCCGGGGUUCGCCCACGUUCAUGCUUAGGAUGCUGGCGUAAUGGCUUUAAACGACCCGUCUUGAAACACGGACCAAGGAGUCUAACAUGCCUGCGAGUGUUUGGGUGGAAAACCCGAGCGCGCAAUGAAAGUGAAAGUUGGGAUCCCUGUCGCGGGGAGCACCGACGCCCGGACCAGACCUUUUGUGACGGAUCCGCGGUAGAGCAUGUAUGUUGGGACCCGAAAGAUGGUGAACUAUGCCUGAAUAGGGUGAAGCCAGAGGAAACUCUGGUGGAGGCUCGUAGCGAUUCUGACGUGCAAAUCGAUCGUCAAAUUUGGGUAUAGGGGCGAAAGACUAAUCGAACCAUCUAGUAGCUGGUUCCUGCCGAAGU